RNAcentral lists this ribosomal RNA (627 nucleotides) under uncultured fungus. Its description in RNAcentral is "eukaryotic LSU rRNA". It matches the Rfam family "Eukaryotic large subunit ribosomal RNA", at positions 40 to 647 of the family's 3401-position model. Lineage: Eukaryota; Fungi. The record is from RNAcentral.
AUAUCAAUAAGCGGAGGAAAAGAAACUAACAAGGAUUCCCCUAGUAACUGCGAGUGAAGCGGGAAAAGCUCAAAUUUAAAAUCUGAGGGUCUUUAUGGCCUUCCGAGUUGUAAUCUAGAGAAGUGCUAUCCGCGCUGGACCGUGUACAAGUCUCCUGGAACGGAGCGUCAUAGAGGGUGAGAAUCCCGUCUUUGACACGGACUACCAGGGCUUAUGUGAUGCGCUCUCAAAGAGUCGAGUUGUUUGGGAAUGCAGCUCUAAAUGGGUGGUAAAUUCCAUCUAAAGCUAAAUAUUGGCGAGAGACCGAUAGCGAACAAGUACCGUGAGGGAAAGAUGAAAAGAACUUUGGAAAGAGAGUUAAACAGUACGUGAAAUUGUUGAAAGGGAAACGCUUGAAGUCAGUCACAUUGGCCAGGGAUCAACCUUGCUUUUGCUUGGUGUAUUUUCUGGUGAAUGGGUCAGCAUCAAUUUUGACCGGUGGAAAAAGAUCAAGGGAAUGUGGCAUCUUCGGAUGUGUUAUAGCCCUUGGUUGUAUACAUCGGUUGGGAUUGAGGAACUCAGCACGCCGCAAGGCCGGGUUUUUAACCACGUACGUGCUUAGGAUGCUGGCAUAAUGGCUUUAAUCGA